AUACGGAGGAUGCAAGCGUUAUCCGGAUUUAUUGGGUUUAAAGGGUACGUAGGCGGAUUUGCAAGUCAGUGGUGAAAUCUCCCCGCUUAACGGGGAAACUGCCAUUGAUACUGUUAAUCUUGAGUACAUAUGAAGUGGGCGGAAUACGGUAUGUAGCGGUGAAAUGCAUAGAUAUGCCGUAGAACACCGAUUGCGAAGGCAGCUCACUAAAUUGUCACUGACGCUGAGGUACGAAAGCGUGGGGAUCAAACAGGAUUAGAUACCCUGGUAGUCCACGCUGUAAACGAUGAUCACUCGCUGUUGGCGAUACACUGUCAGCGGCUGAGCGAAAGCAUUAAGUGAUCCACCUGGGGAUUACGAUCGCAAGAUUGAA
This 373-nucleotide ribosomal RNA is filed under the name uncultured bacterium. Its description in RNAcentral is "bacterial SSU rRNA". It matches the Rfam family "Bacterial small subunit ribosomal RNA", at positions 523 to 898 of the family's 1533-position model. The record is from RNAcentral.